UUAUAAGACGAGAAGACCCCAUGGAGCUUUAAACCCAAUUAUAUCUCUAACCACUAUAACCAUUUAAUCACUUAGAACUUAUAUACUUGGUUUUAGGUUGGGGCGACCACGGAGCACAACCAAACCUCCACGAUGAACGGAACAACCCCCUUAUCUGAGAAUUACACUUCUAAGAAUUAGCACACUAACAUAAAAUGACCCAUUAUUGAUCAACGAACCAAGUUACCCUGGGGAUAACAGCGCAAUCCAUUUUAAGAGCCCCUAUCGACAAAU
This 273-nucleotide ribosomal RNA is filed under the name Mantidactylus catalai. Its description in RNAcentral is "partial 16S ribosomal RNA". Lineage: Eukaryota; Metazoa; Chordata; Amphibia; Anura; Mantellidae. The record is from RNAcentral.